UUUAUUAGUUACAGAUUUUUGGUAGCAUGAGCGGCGGGUUUCGGCGCCCGCGGUCGGCGCUGCCGUCGUGUCUAGUGCGCGCCCCUCUGACCGGCGCCAUGAGAGCGGCCUCGCCGGUGGAUCUCAUGGACAAUGCGUGCAUCAUUAACCUUCUAUAGUCCUCCGCGGCGAAUCGCAUCACGUCGCCGGCCAUCUAGCCGUUCCCCUUUGCGGUGUGGUACGUCGUCUCGGCCGAAGCUGCAAUCUCCUCCGGCGCCCGCGUUGCUGAGCAGAGUUUCCUUAUGCAGCAGCAGCGCCGGCAACUCCUAUCCAUCUACCAAAGAAAGUGGCAUUAUCUUAUCCAUUCAGUAUGCAUCUUUUCCUCUUUACUGUGCGUUUGCACGAACAGGUGCAUAUCUCCCUUUGCCUUACCAUCUCCUCCUUGUAUUAAAUAAAUUUGAGCACCGUAUGUUUGCAUCUUGCUGUAAAGUGUACUUGAGAGACGAUGGUAGAGGAGUCAUCAAGGAAAAUGCUGGCAGAUGCAGCUACGAAAUUACUUGUUCCAGUAUUUUCUAUUAUUUGUGAAAUUGGAUAUGACUGGUAGGCUAUGUAAGAAAGAAAUUUUAUAUUAAUUGAGAAAAUGAUCUUGGUUCUUCAAUGGCUCUGUAACUUUAGAGCCACGUCCCUAAUGCAUACAUAUAUAACUGGUAUUGAUCUUGUCAAAUCAGUUGUUAGCCCUUGCUCGCAUAUUUUUGUUUACCUGUAAAUGCAGAGAGAAGUACCUUGCUGACAAAUAUAAUACUUCAGAGAUAACCAUUUAAAACAAUUUUAAAAACCAAUUUAAAACAGAUAAGGCUGCUAUGUCUUUCCAGAAAAAAAGGCUGCUAUGUCUGCAACACAUUAUAUUUGGUCAUUUAAGAAUGUUUGUAUUUGUUCUUAACUUAUACUUCUAGUUAUUAAAAAAAAUAUCUAUAAUAUAUCCUUGUAAACAAUGUUUUUUGCAACCUUGUCGGAUGGACGCUCUUCAUCCGAUAUAAGUAUCCGCAAUCCAUUUCUGCUGGUAACCCUUGACAUUGCAACAUAGAGUUGGCCAUGUGUGAACACUUGCCUUUCUAAGUAGAGUCCAACCUUUUUGAGAGAUUGCCCCUGACUUUUGUUUAUUGUCAUAGCAAAGCACACCGAUAUUGGGUAUUGUCUCCUUUUCAGAAUGAAUGGCCAUUUUGAAUCACUUGGUGACAUAAUAAUUCGUGGGAUGUAAACUUUGUCACCAAUGUUAGUACCUGUUAUGACCUGGCCUUCGAUGAAACGCUUUCCUAGCUGUGUUAUUGUUAGUCUUGUCCCAUUGCAAAGUCCUGCACUUUGAUUGAUGUUCCUCAUAAGCAUUACUGGUAAUCCUAUUUUCAGCCUCAGUUCAUGAUCUGGUAUUCCAGAAAAUGUUACUAUUUAGAAAUUCAGUUGGGUACAACAUAUCUUCGUCUUCCACCAUAGACAUUGCCUUGCAUGUUGUAUCUGAAACUGAGAUAGGUUACCUCUUCUCCAGGAAUUUGACUCAUGAUGUAGGUGUUAAUCUAGUCAACAGUCUCGUUCCUUGGGCACAGGAUCGCUCUUUCCUCUAGUCUUCAUCAUCUAUUGUUGCCGUUGUGCCAUCGCCGAUGUUUAGUAUCCAGUUUGCAAAUUCAGCUGUCUUUGCUUUCUCUUUUGGACUACCUUCGGAUGAAUUCAGACGCAUAUUUUCUGAUUUGUCUGAAGUCACCUCCCAAGACUACUGUCAUUCCUCCAAACGGUCUAUGCUCGGCAUCCUCAUUUGUGAAUCGAAAAUCGAACUAUCUGGUAGUGGCAUUCCUGGAAAUUCUUUGAGGGACUUACCACCUUUAGCCAAUAGGUGUUCGAUCUCUGCCAAGAGGAGGCUCUUUAUUUGCAAUGAGAUCAGUCACCUCGCAAAAUAAAAGUAUUGUGCAGAAAAGUUGGCGCAUUUGAGGAGCAGAGGCCCAAUGGGAUGCUUCCUUGAUGCAGUCAUCCCACUCCUUGUCGUCAUUAAGUAGCCCAAGAGAAUAACAUGCAGAUUUGUAUGUUGGAUGUACAACCCCAUCAACUGUUCGGAUUUCUUCAUAGGAUCUGCAUCCUUUCACGGUAUUUAGAAGCAUUCUCAAGUAGUAUUUUUCACCGAUUGUUGGUUGUGCAUAGUAAAUCCUGCCUAUGGUUUUUUUACCACCACGUCUCUUCCUCCAUUCUUUCUCGUUUGCAUGCCAAGUCCAUUUGGUUGGAAACUGUGCAUACGUCAAACUGCGAGCUUCCUCAUGCAAUUGGUUGGCUGUCAUCCAUUCUGUGAACAUUGUAUUUUCUAUGUUAGGCCGAGAUAUGAUUUUAUCUAAAUCCAUCGAGUCUGGGAAUACCACAACAUGUUCAUUUUCUAGGUGAAAUUGUAACCUUUCAACCGCAGGCUCUCUAUACUGAAGAGGAAACUGAAAUAUGCGCCAUGCGGCUUCACAUCCAGAUAUGUACCGAGCAUCAAGGUUUCUGGCCUGGAAUCAGAUCCAGCAUAUCCUGUAUUUCCGGCCAUUUCGGAUUGCAUGUAAAAGUGAUGAAGAGAUCAGGAUAGCCAGCCCAACGACAAAUCGCCAUGGCAUCUUGGUAGUUUUGCUGCUUAUUUCUAGGGCUACCAUUAUAUGUUGAGGGUAGUAUGAUUCUUUGGCCAACUUGUUCAGUUCGUGUAUCUCCAUUUUCUAUUGCAUCAUGCAGUCCUCUGUAUAGUUCUGUCCUCAGCUUUCCUUGGUUUGUCCUGUACCAAUUUAGUCUCCAUUGUUCAAUGCACGUUGCUGCAUCAACUAAGAACUGUAGGAACAAACGUCCACUCAUUUGCAAGGUUGUUGCUUGGUUAAGACGUUGUUGGAUGCGAUAUGCAUAAAACUCCAGCAUUGUUACAUACUCUCUUACCUUUGUCGCCUAUCUUUUUUUGAUACUCUAUUUCUGGUCUGAACCCAUCUUCUCCAUAUGGAAAAAGCAAGGGGUAUUGCAUUGACAUAUAGCUUGGGUGCAACUCUGAAAUCCUCUGUAACAUUCUGUCUUUGGUCUCAAUUAUUAUAUCAAAUUCAUUAUUUUCUCCAUCUUGUUCCCCAAUAAUUAGUGAUGCAACUUCUGAGGCAGAUGGGAGGCUGUAUUGCCGUCCAUCUUUCGACCUUUUGUUGAUCAAUCUUAGUCUUACAUCUUUAAUAUCUCAGUUUUCGAGCCUGUCCCUUGCCAUACGAAACGAUUUGACCAAAACAUUGUGCUCAUCUAGCAUCUCUAGUAGACCUUUGACAAUGUUUUCAUCUGGCUUUGUCUUAAUCUCCAUUGAAGUUGAUGCAGUAAUCCUGUUACGCACUUCAUUUUCUGUGUCAUGUAUGUACAAUUGGGCAAAUUUUGGUUUUGUCACGUCAUCUUUAGGAAGUAAAGUGCCAAUCUGAUGGUAGUUUUGGCCAUUCAAACGGAAAACAUAUGGUCCAGGUGUCUGCUUAUUAAUUUCAUAGUCAACCUUUCCUCCCAUUGAAGUGAACGCGAACAUGGAGUUGUACAACCUGAUGUUCUGGCGAAAAUUGGAUGACUCUCCUCUUUCAUUGUAACGUAGUAGCUGUCGGAGAUACAACGGAGCUUGCUUCAGUGGUGGUAAUUUAAUUUUCCCUUCCUUGCAGCAGAGACCAAACUUUGGAACUGUGAUGUUACAUGUGUUUGUGCUUCUCUCUCCAUGCCACAUAAUGGCAUUGCAAAAUUCCCAAACGCAAUUUGGUUUUCCCAAAUUUGAAACUUGAGUGACAUCCUUUGCUAUAUUUGAUACUUCACAGCCAUUAUUGUCCUUUUCUGUCCUUAUUCGUUUCCUUUCCCUUUUCAGCUGGAGUAUCUCUUUCCUUUUUCGUCUAGCUUCCUUCCUUGCUGCUCUGAUAAUAUCUGAUUGACUAUCAUUAGAUUCUACUGUCGCGAGCUGCGAGGUUCCUUGCUGAGGUAUUUGUAUUGUUUGGUCACCCAAUAUAUUGCUGCAUUAUAUUUUGGUAUCAUUUGAAUAAUCCAGGUAAAUUAAUGUCUAUAUAAUUAUUUUUUGGUAUUGGGGUAAUGAAUACCUUCUGUUGUUUUGAUUUGGUCCACCGUUACUUCGACGCAAGUUGAGUGCAGCUAGUGAAUCCUGAAAUGAGGGGAAAAAAUUGUAACGCUUUGUUUGAGAGCAACAACAUGCAGAUAGAAUUAAGUAUAUGGAACUCAGCAGUAUUUCCUUUCUGGAGCCGAAGAUCUGGCAUGUACCCCAUGUAAUAUUUCUCACUGAAUAUUUAACCUUGACUGUAGAAAUUAAAAUAUAUUCCUCAUUGGGAACAUCACAAAAAAAUUAAGUACAUGCUAGUGAGGACAUCUUAUAAGCACCUGAUUCCUUUUCUGCUGAAGUAUUUCUUUCCUUUUCCGUGCAGCAUCCUUCAUUGCUGCUCUAAUGAUGUCUGGUUGAUUAUCAUUAGAUUGUAGAGUGGCAAGUUUGGAGGUUGCUUUGUCAGGUCUUUCAUUGCUGCAUUAGAUUUUGGUGCCAUUUUAAUAAUCUAGGUAAAUUAAUGGGUAUAAAAUUGUUUUUAUAUUGUGGUAACCAAUACCUAUUGUUGUUUUUGUUGAGUCCAUUGCGAGUUCGACGCAUGCUGACUGCAGGUAGUUAAUCCUGAAAAAUAUGAGGGAAAAAUGUAAGCAUUUUGUCCAAGAACAACAACAUGCAAAGAGUAUCAAGUAUUUUGAUAGUUGACCCGUGCACUUGGAUGUGCUAGUAUCAUAUUGAUAGUCGAAAUCCAUUCAUAUUUAACUUUCUUAGAAUUUUAUUCCUCAUCGGGGUUAUCACAAAGUAUGUAAGCAGUACAUGAUAGUGAGGACAUCUUGUAAGCACCUUAUUUUACUUGUCUGGAAAUUCUGAGUUGCUGACGAUAAGUUUAAUGUACACAUGUCAGGUACCGCAUUGUUUUGAAGGAUGUUGUCUGGAUCAAUCAGUUUCCUGGAAAUAUUCCUGUUCUCCUACUGAUAGUUUGCCAACAAAGAAUUGUAGAUCAUGUACAUGUGUUAUUACCUUUUAAGCAGAGGACAUACUAUAUGGUUUGUAAUUGGCAAACUAAUUUUGAUGAUUGUUCAUCAAUUUCUCUGUAGUUGCAAUUAACAAAGCAUAUGUGAUGAGAUUACAGAGUUGAUGCAUAUAGUAGUGGAAGUUGGUAAUGAUUACCUGCAAGUACUGGCACACAACCUAUCUGCUCCUUACUGCUUGCCGUGUAAGGAUUAAUUAUCGCCUGUAUGUGAUGUGGGAUGAGAUCAGAGGUGAUGUCUUGCCGCGAUGAAGGAUGUGAUCGGCGGCGGGCGAUGUGGCAGAAAAGAGAGAUAAGAAGAUUCUGCUAUGUAGAAUUUGUCACGCGUACAUUUAGAUCUGAGCAGUUAGUCUUAGCGCUGUAUGUCUUAUAUAUGCACGUCUUCGUUCCAUACACGUAUAGUCUAU
This is a long non-coding RNA of Triticum aestivum (bread wheat), 5458 nucleotides long. RefSeq lists it as uncharacterized. Lineage: Eukaryota; Viridiplantae; Streptophyta; Magnoliopsida; Poales; Poaceae. The transcript is spliced from 6 exons. The record is from RefSeq and is a predicted model, not a curated record.